Molecule: unclassified non-coding RNA, 401 nt
Filed under: soil metagenome
Description: partial contains 5.8S ribosomal RNA, internal transcribed spacer 2, and large subunit ribosomal RNA
Rfam family: 5.8S ribosomal RNA (bases 1-121)
Source: RNAcentral
GAUGAAGAACGCAGCGAAAUGCGAUAAGUAAUGUGAAUUGCAGAAUUCAGUGAAUCAUCGAAUCUUUGAACGCACCUUGCGCCCUUUGGCUAUUCUGAAGGGCAUGCCUGUUUGAGUAUCAUGAACACCUCAACUCUCAUGGUUCGCCAUGAUGAGCUUGGACUUUGGGGGUCUUGCUGGCCUACGGUCGGCUCCUCUCAAAUGAAUCAGCUUGCCAGUGUUUGGUAGAGUCGCAGGUGUGAUAACUAUCUACGCUUGUGGUUUUCUGCCAGAUAACCUUCAGUGAUGGAGGUUCGCUGGAGCUUAUAAAUGUCUCUCCCCAGUGAGGACAGCUUUUUGAACGUUUGAUCUCAAAUCAGGUAGGACUACCCGCUGAACUUAAGCAUAUCAAUAAGCGGAGG